Molecule: long non-coding RNA, 896 nt
Organism: Monodelphis domestica (gray short-tailed opossum)
Lineage: Eukaryota; Metazoa; Chordata; Mammalia; Didelphimorphia; Didelphidae
Source: RefSeq, a predicted model, not a curated record
GUGGGCCCACUACAUCAUGUACAUAUUCUGCUCACCCCCAUCACUGUGACUCCUGACUGUUUCCUCCAAAGCUCUAACUCCUCUUCUUCAUUGGGAAGCAGAAUGAUCCAGAAUAUGAUGCAAUGGAGUUACAAUUAAAUACAAACAGAAACCUAAAGAAAAGAAGGAAGGAAAAAAAAAGAAAGAAGAAAGAAGGGAGGAGACAAAAAGAAAAAAGAGAGAAAAAAAAGCUGUUGCCCAUCACUGUGAUGUCUGCUCCUCAUUUCUUUAUCUUUCGCUUCCUUUUAAGAUAAAUUUUGGCAUUAACAUGAUGAACAGGUGACCAAAAUAAUACAGUUAUUGAGGAAGAACAGAUUUAGACUACGGUUCCCAAGUCAGAUCACAUACCCAGGCUUAGGGAGAAGAACUUGAUCAUUUUCCUGGAACCAAUUCUGAGUCCUGAAAGUGAAGAUCACUUUGAGUUAUCACUAAGAGGUCACCAGAGCCAUACUACCAUUGCCAUUCCUGCUGUUGUGGGACUCAUAACAUCAAGAGACUAUUGGAAUCAUCUAGAAUUCAAAACCGAAAUUUCAGGAAGAAUGAACAGACAGAGAACAUACUUAUCACUUGCCUUCAUCAGCAGAGAUUCUUCCAAAAACAAAACUAUCACUUUACCUGGACUCGUUUCCCAAUGGUUAGCAAACUGUCAUUUCCUCUUAUUCUCCACAUCUCUGCUCUACAGAAUUUCAGAAGAUGUGAAAAGAAAACUGUCUCUAGCUUCUGGCAACUUUCUUAUGUUUUCUCAACUCAACAUUGUCCCUCCAUUGUUUCAUUCCUGAUCUGCCCUACUCAGGUCAAUGUGGUCUCUGGAAUUUCUCUAUAGUUAAUAAUUAAGACACUUCUCCUUGUUUACCACA